GGAUGCGAUCAUACCAGCACUAAAGCACCGGAUCCCAUUAGAACUCCGAAGUUAAGCAUGCUUGGGCGAGAGUAGUACUAGGAUGGGUGACCUCCUGGGAAGUCCUCGUGUUGCAUUCC
RNAcentral lists this ribosomal RNA (119 nucleotides) under Triticum aestivum (bread wheat). Lineage: Eukaryota; Viridiplantae; Streptophyta; Magnoliopsida; Poales; Poaceae. The record is from RNAcentral. RNAcentral also lists the same sequence under 2 other names.